Molecule: ribosomal RNA, 778 nt
Filed under: uncultured Neocallimastigales
Lineage: Eukaryota; Fungi; Neocallimastigomycota; Neocallimastigomycetes; Neocallimastigales
Description: partial large subunit ribosomal RNA
Rfam family: Eukaryotic large subunit ribosomal RNA
Source: RNAcentral
AUAGAGACUCAGAGCUGCAUAUCAAUAAGCGGAGGAAAAGAAACUAACAUAGGAUUCCCUUAGUAACGGCGAGUGAAGCGGGAAGAGCUCAAAUUUGAAAUCUUCAAGGGUUCUACCUUUACGAAUUGUAGUUUAAAGAAGUGUUUUCUGUUAGGAGUUAGGUAAAAGUUCCUUGGAAUAGGACAUCAUAGAGGGUGAGAAUCCCGUAUUUGACCAGUUACUUUCCAGCUGUGUGAUACACUUUCAAAGAGUCGGAUUGUUUGGGAAUGCAGUCCAAAAUGGGUGGUAAAUUUCAUCUAAAGCUAAAUAUUGGCGAGAGACCGAUAGCGAACAAGUACCGUGAGGGAAAGAUGAAAAGAACUUUGAAAAGAGAGUUAAACAGUACGUGAAAUUGUCAAAAGGGAAGCGUUUGACACCAGUGUUGUUUUUCCGAAAAUCAAUUACGAAUGGCUUGAUUUUGUGUUGUAUUGACCUUAUCAGCUUUCUGCACUUUUUUCAAGUCUUUCUUAAUGCACUUUUCGGUUAACAAGUCAACAUCAAUUUCUUUUGUUGUAAAAGAGUAUUCGGAAGGUGGCUUUCUUUUCGGAGAAAGUGUUUAUAGCCCUAUACUUCUACAAUCGGAGAGAUUGAGGUCUGCAGCGUAGAUCCUUCGGGGUUAGAUACACUUGUGCUAAGUUGUAGCUUUUCAUAGACAACUUGUUGACUAUGUUUAGUCAUGCGGCUUACUCGCUUGUGCUAUUUUACCUACGCUUAGGAUGUUGAAGUCAUCGUAUCGCGC